UCUGAAGUAGCCUACGACCGAAGAUAAAUGGUUGGACAAAGUUGUUGUUACACAAAUCCAAGAUCUCAAGCUCCUGCAGUUCUGUUACCUCCUCAGGGACUUCAAGUGAGUUAAGUUUCCGAGUUCAGGUGCAAUUGUUCCUUGUAGAGAGAGAUCUCUUAGAUUUCUACGUUAUAAGACAUCAAAUUGGUAACACAGCUGGGAUUUAUAUUAUUUUAAGGAUUUGGAUA
Long non-coding RNA from Capsella rubella, 230 nucleotides. RefSeq lists it as uncharacterized. The record is from RefSeq and is a predicted model, not a curated record. The transcript is spliced from 2 exons. Lineage: Eukaryota; Viridiplantae; Streptophyta; Magnoliopsida; Brassicales; Brassicaceae.